UUGUCUCAAAGAUUAAGCCAUGCAUGUCUCAGUACAAGCCGAAUUAAGGUGAAACCGCGAAAGGCUCAUUAAAUCAGUUAUGGUUCCUUAGAUCGUACCCACAUUUACUUGGAUAACUGUGGUAAUUCUAGAGCUAAUACAUGCAAACAGAGCUCCAACCGGAAACGGAAGGAGCGCUUUUAUUAGAUCAAAACCAAUCGGUGGCGCUCUCCGUCAUCGUACAACUUGGUGACUCUGAAUAACUUUACGCUGAUCGCACGGUCUCGCACCGGCGACGCAUCUUUCAAAUGUCUGCCUUAUCAACUGUCGAUGGUAGGUUCUGCGCCUACCAUGGUUGUAACGGGUAACGGGGAAUCAGGGUUCGAUUCCGGAGAGGGAGCCUGAGAAACGGCUACCACAUCCAAGGAAGGCAGCAGGCGCGCAAAUUACCCACUCCCGGCACGGGGAGGUAGUGACGAAAAAUAACGAUACGGGACUCAUCCGAGGCCCCGUAAUCGGAAUGAGUACACUCUAAACCCUUUAACGAGGAUCAAUUGGAGGGCAAGUCUGGUGCCAGCAGCCGCGGUAAUUCCAGCUCCAAUAGCGUAUAUUAAAGUUGUUGCGGUUAAAAAGCUCGUAGUCGAAUCUGUGUCCCGCGCCGCCGGUUCAUCGUUCGCGGUGUUAACUGGCGUGCCGCGGGACGUCCUGCCGGUGGGCUUAGCUCGAGAGGGCGGCCCAACUCAAUCCCGCCGCGGUGCUCUUCAUUGAGUGUCGAGGUGGGCCGGCACGUUUACUUUGAACAAAUUAGAGUGCUUAAAGCAGGCUAAAACUUCGCCUGAAUACUGUGUGCAUGGAAUAAUGGAAUAGGACCUCGGUUCUAUUUUGUUGGUUUUCGGAACCCCGAGGUAAUGAUUAAUAGGAACGGAUGGGGGCAUUCGUAUUGCGACGUUAGAGGUGAAAUUCUUGGAUCGUCGCAAGACGGACAGAAGCGAAAGCAUUUGCCAAAAACGCUUUCAUUGAUCAAGAACGAAAGUUAGAGGUUCGAAGGCGAUCAGAUACCGCCCUAGUUCUAACCAUAAACGAUGCCAGCUAGCGAUCCGCCGACGUUCCUCCGAUGACUCGGCGGGCAGCUUCCGGGAAACCAAAGCUUUUGGGUUCCGGGGGAAGUAUGGUUGCAAAGCUGAAACUUAAAGGAAUUGACGGAAGGGCACCACCAGGAGUGGAGCCUGCGGCUUAAUU
RNAcentral lists this ribosomal RNA (1218 nucleotides) under Chariotheca iris. RNAcentral's name for it is "SSU rRNA". It matches the Rfam family "Eukaryotic small subunit ribosomal RNA", at positions 32 to 1195 of the family's 1831-position model. The record is from RNAcentral. RNAcentral also lists the same sequence under 1 other name. Lineage: Eukaryota; Metazoa; Arthropoda; Insecta; Coleoptera; Tenebrionidae.